CCCUUAGAUGCUCUGGGCCGCACGCGCGCUACACUGAUGCAUUCAACGAGCCUAGCCUUGACCGAGAGGUCCGGGUAAUCUUUGAAACUGCAUCGUGAUGGGGCUAGAUUAUUGCAAUUAUUAAUCUUCAACGAGGAAUGCCUAGUAAGCGUGAUUCAUCAAAUCGCGUUGAUUACGUCCCUGCCCUUUGUACACACCGCCCGUCGCUCCUACCGAUUGAGUGUGUUGGUGAGGAGUUCGGAUUGGCUCUUAGUGGUGGUUCGCCACCACCUAGAGCUGAGAAGUUCUCCAAACCGCCCCACUUAGAGGAAGGAGAAGUCGUAACA
Molecule: ribosomal RNA, 326 nt
Filed under: uncultured eukaryote
Lineage: Eukaryota
Description: partial 18S ribosomal RNA
Rfam family: Eukaryotic small subunit ribosomal RNA
Source: RNAcentral